GAGGGUAUAGCUCAGUGAUACAGUGUAUGCUUAACAUGCAGGCGGUCCUAGGUUCAAUCCCCAGUAUCCCCA
RNAcentral lists this transfer RNA (72 nucleotides) under Camelus bactrianus (Bactrian camel). It matches the Rfam family "tRNA". From Rfam's summary of the family: Transfer RNA (tRNA) molecules are approximately 80 nucleotides in length. Their secondary structure includes four short double-helical elements and three loops (D, anti-codon, and T loops). Further hydrogen bonds mediate the characteristic L-shaped molecular structure. tRNAs have two regions of fundamental functional importance: the anti-codon, which is responsible for specific mRNA codon recognition, and the 3' end, to which the tRNAs corresponding amino acid is attached (by aminoacyl-tRNA synthetases). tRNAs cope with the degeneracy of the genetic code in two manners: having more than one tRNA (with a specific anti-codon) for a particular amino acid; and 'wobble' base-pairing, i.e. permitting non-standard base-pairing at the 3rd anti-codon position. The record is from Rfam by way of RNAcentral. Lineage: Eukaryota; Metazoa; Chordata; Mammalia; Artiodactyla; Camelidae. RNAcentral also lists the same sequence under 1 other name.